This 255-nucleotide ribosomal RNA is filed under the name uncultured bacterium. RNAcentral's name for it is "partial 16S ribosomal RNA". It matches the Rfam family "Bacterial small subunit ribosomal RNA", at positions 524 to 776 of the family's 1533-position model. The record is from RNAcentral.
UACGUAGGGCGCGAGCGUUGUCCGGAAUUAUUGGGCGUAAAGAGCUCGUAGGCGGCCUGUUGCGUCCGCUGUGAAAUCCCAGGGCUCAACCCUGGGCGUGCAGUGGAUACGGGCAGGCUGGAGGCAGGCAGGGGAGAACGGAAUUCCCGGUGUAGCGGUGAAAUGCGUAGAUAUAGGGAAGAACACCAAUCAGGCGAAGGCAGUUAACUAUUCUAUUCCUGACAUUGAGGCAUGAAAGCGUGGGGAGCAAAACGG